CCAGGAAUCUUGGGCAAUGGGCGAAAGCCUGACCCAGCAACACCGUGUGGGUGAUGAAGGCCUUCGGGUCGUAAAGCCCUGUUGAUAGGGACGAAGGGCGAAGGGUUAAUAGCCCCUAGCUUGACGGUACCUUUCGAGGAAGCCCCGGCUAACUACUUGCCAGCAGCCGCGGUAAUACGUAGGGGGCGAGCGUUGUCCGGAAUUAUUGGGCGUAAAGAGCGUGUAGGCGGUUCGGUAAGUCUGUCGUGAAAUCCUGGGGCUCAACCUCGGGCGUGCGAUGGAUACUGCCGGGCUAGAGGGUGGUAGAGGCGAGUGGAAUUCCCGGUGUAGCGGUGAAAUGCGCAGAUAUCGGGAGGAACACCAGUAGCGAAGGCGGCUCGCUGGGCCACACCUGACGCUGAGACGCGAAAGCUAGGGGAGCGAACAGG
This 428-nucleotide ribosomal RNA is filed under the name Bacillota bacterium. RNAcentral's name for it is "Firmicutes bacterium partial 16S ribosomal RNA". It matches the Rfam family "Bacterial small subunit ribosomal RNA", at positions 355 to 776 of the family's 1533-position model. The record is from RNAcentral. Lineage: Bacteria; Bacillati; Bacillota.